Molecule: ribosomal RNA, 452 nt
Filed under: uncultured bacterium
Lineage: Bacteria
Description: partial 16S ribosomal RNA
Rfam family: Bacterial small subunit ribosomal RNA
Source: RNAcentral
GAUGAACGCUGGCGGCGUGCCUAACACAUGCAAGUCGAGCGAUUUACUUCGGUAAAGAGCGGCGGACGGGUGAGUAACGCGUGGGUAACCUGCCCUGUACACACGGAUAACAUACCGAAAGGUAUGCUAAUACGAGAUAAUAUGCUUUUAUCGCAUGGUAGAAGUAUCAAAGCUUUUGCGGUACAGGAUGGACCCGCGUCUGAUUAGCUAGUUGGUGAGGUAACGGCUCACCAAGGCGACGAUCAGUAGCCGACCUGAGAGGGUGAUCGGCCACAUUGGAACUGAGACACGGUCCAAACUCCUACGGGAGGCAGCAGUGGGGAAUAUUGCACAAUGGGCGAAAGCCUGAUGCAUCAACGCCGCGUGAGCGAUGAAGGCCUUCGGGUCGUAAAGCUCUGUCCUCAAGGAAGAUAAUGACGGUACUUGAGGAGGAAGCCCCGGCUAACUACGUG